CCUACGGGAGGCAGCAGUGGGGAAUUUUGGACAAUGGGCGCAAGCCUGAUCCAGCAAUGCCGCGUGAGUGAAGAAGGCCUUCGGGUUGUAAAGCUCUUUUGUCAGGGAAGAAACGGUCUACUCUAAUACAGUGGGCUAAUGACGGUACCUGAAGAAUAAGCACCGGCUAACUACGUGCCAGCAGCCGCGGUAAUACGUAGGGUGCAAGCGUUAAUCGGAAUUACUGGGCGUAAAGCGUGCGCAGGCGGUUAUAUAAGUCAGAUGUGAAAUCCCCGGGCUCAACCUGGGAACUGCAUUUGAGACUGUAUGGCUAGAGUGUGUCAGAGGGGGGUAGAAUUCCACGUGUAGCAGUGAAAUGCGUAGAUAUGUGGAGGAAUACCGAUGGCGAAGGCAGCCCCCUGGGAUAACACUGACGCUCAUGCACGAAAGCGUGGGGAGCAAACAGGAUUAGAUACCCUGGUAGUCCACGCCCUAAACGAUGUCUACUAGUUGUCGGUACUUAUUGUNUGUACGUCGAGCGUACGCGUGAGAGACGCCGUGGUAGGUACGGUUCGCGAGAAGUUAAAGUAACGAAGAGUUAGACGGCGNGAGAGNGCGACGGACGACGACGAGGGAGGAGG
Molecule: ribosomal RNA, 620 nt
Filed under: uncultured bacterium
Lineage: Bacteria
Description: bacterial SSU rRNA
Rfam family: Bacterial small subunit ribosomal RNA (bases 1-537)
Source: RNAcentral